RNAcentral lists this ribosomal RNA (871 nucleotides) under uncultured archaeon. RNAcentral's name for it is "bacterial SSU rRNA". It matches the Rfam family "Archaeal small subunit ribosomal RNA", at positions 5 to 879 of the family's 1478-position model. The record is from RNAcentral.
CGGUUGAUCCUGCCGGAGGUCACUGCUAUCGGAGUUCGACUAAGCCAUGCAAGUGGAAAGAAUUAGAUUCUUCGCAUAACGCUGAGUAACACGCGGAUAAUCUGACCUGAGGUGGAGAAUAACCCCGGGAAACUGGGGACAAUUCUCCAUAGGCGAAAGGCACUGGAAUGUCCUUUCGCUAAAAGAUACGUCGCCUCAGGAUGAGUCCGUGGCGGAUUAGGUUGUUGGUAGGGUAAUGGCCUACCAAGCCGAAGAUCCGUAGGGGCCGUGAGAGCGGGAGCCCCCAGAUGGGUACUGAGACAAGGACCCAGGUCCUACGGGACGCAGCAGGCGCGCAAACUCCGCAAUGCACGAAAGUGUGACGGGGGAACUCCGAGUGCUGCUAAGUUUAUUCAGUGGCUUUUCUGGAAUGUAAAUAGUUCAAGGAAUAAAGGUUGGGUAAGACCGGUGCCAGCCGCCGCGGUAACACCGGCAACCUGAGUGGUGACCGCGUUUAUUGGGCCUAAAGCGUUCGUAGCCGGGCUAGUAAGUUUCCUGGUAAAUCCGACAGCUUAACUGUCGGAAAUCAGGAAAUACUAUUAGUCUAGAGGCCGGGAGAGGGUACGGGUACUUCAGGGGCAGGAGUGAAAUCCUCUGAUCCUUGAGGGACCACCUGUGGCGAAAGCGCGUGUCCAGAACGGACCUGACGGUGAGGAACGAAACCCUGGGGAGCAAACGGGAUUAGAUACCCCGGUAGUCCAGGGCGUAAACGAUGCCCGUUUGGUGUUGCAUGUUCUACGAGAGCAUGCAGUGCCGUAGCGUAGGUGUUAAACGGGCCGCCUGGGGAGUACGGUCGCAAGACUGAAACUUAAAGGAAUUGGCGGGGGAGCAC